AUUCUCCUUACCUCAGACCACACGAUGCCUUGAAGAAGCCUUUAGUGCAACCAUUUAGCAUCAUCGAAUAGAAAGGGGAUGAAAUAGCAUUAAACAUAAUACUACACCAUUUUUCUGAAAAACACAACCGA
Molecule: long non-coding RNA, 131 nt
Organism: Juglans microcarpa x Juglans regia
Lineage: Eukaryota; Viridiplantae; Streptophyta; Magnoliopsida; Fagales; Juglandaceae
Exons: 3
Source: RefSeq, a predicted model, not a curated record